Musca vetustissima is the source of this 104-nucleotide small nucleolar RNA. RefSeq annotates it as small nucleolar RNA psi18S-841/snoR66. Lineage: Eukaryota; Metazoa; Arthropoda; Insecta; Diptera; Muscidae. The record is from RefSeq and is a predicted model, not a curated record. The transcript has a single exon.
GGCAAGGGUACUCUGUGUCACAUUGAUAACUACAAGUGGAACAAUUUGUAACCUUGCUAUAUUAAUUAGAUAUUUUGAAACUCUAAAGUCCAUUUGUUAAUUAA